AUGGCGAAGCUGCUGGGUUUGCGCUACAGGAUUGUGUACAAACGGGGAGAAGACAACCGAGUGGCAGAUGCCCUGUCACGUCGACCCGGGCCACUGCAAGGGGACCUGGCCACAGUUACCGUGGUAGUGCCGAUCUGGCUUGAAGCAGUGCAGCAAGGGUACAACACUGACCCAGCAGCUCAAAAGUUGCUUGCACGUCUAGCUACUGAACCCAAUGGCCACGACGGAUUCCUUCUUCAGAACGGCAUCAUCAAACACAAUGGGCGCGUGUGGCUCGGGAACAACGUGCCCCUGCAGAAACAAGUCUUGACAGCCUUACACUCCGGCGCGAUCGGCGGUCACUCAGGGUUCAAUGCCACCUACCGUCGAGUCCGCCGGCUGUUCACUUGGCCGGGCAUGAAGCAACACGUGAAACUGCUGGUGGAAGAAUGUCAGGUUUGCAAGCAAGCAAAACCCGAACGGGUCCGUUACCCAGGACUGCUGGAACCCCUACCCGUGCCCAAGCAAGCUUGGGAGCUUAUCACCAUGGAUUUCGUUGAAGGGCUGCCGCAGUCGUCGCGAUACAACAGCAUCAUGGUGGUCGUGGACAAGUUCUCGCGGUACGCACAUUUCAUCCCAUUGUCGCACCCCUUUACGGCGUUUCAAGUUGCCCUUGCAUUCGUCAACAACAUAUACAAGCUUCACGGAUUGCCGGAGGCCAUCGUCUCGGAUCGAGACCCAAUUUUCACCAGUACCAUGUGGAAGGAACUGUUCAGGUUGACUCACACGGAACUGCGCAUGAGCACGGCACGGCACCCCCAAACCGACGGGCAGUCCGAGCGAGUAAACCAAUGCUUGGAGACAUACUUACGCUGCUUUGUGCACGCCUGUCCGUCCAAGUGGUCUGCAUGGUUGGCUCUCGCAGAGUUCUGGUAA
RNAcentral lists this ribosomal RNA (915 nucleotides) under Triticum aestivum (bread wheat). Its description in RNAcentral is "partial small subunit ribosomal RNA". Lineage: Eukaryota; Viridiplantae; Streptophyta; Magnoliopsida; Poales; Poaceae. The record is from RNAcentral.